Molecule: ribosomal RNA, 253 nt
Filed under: uncultured bacterium
Lineage: Bacteria
Description: partial 16S ribosomal RNA
Rfam family: Bacterial small subunit ribosomal RNA
Source: RNAcentral
UACGGGGGGGGCAAGCGUUGUUCGGAAUUACUGGGCGUAAAGGGCUCGUAGGCGGCCAACUAAGUCAGACGUGAAAUCCCUCGGCUUAACCGGGGAACUGCGUCUGAUACUGGAUGGCUAGAGGUUGGGAGAGGGAUGCGGAAUUCCAGGUGUAGCGGUGAAAUGCGUAGAUAUCUGGAGGAACACCGGUGGCGAAGGCGGCAUCCUGGACCAAUUCUGACGCUGAGGAGCGAAAGCCAGGGGAGCAGACGGG